UGAGGGAAUAUUUGGGACAAUGGAGGCAACUCUGAUCCAGCCAUGCCGCGUGAAGGACUAAGGCCCUAUGGGCUGUAAACUUCUUUAGACGCAGAGCAAUAAGGGCCACGUGUGGUCCGAUGAGAGUAUGCGUAGAAUAAGCAUCGGCUAACUCCGUGCCAGCAGCCGCGGUAAUACGGGGGAUGCGAGCGUUAUCCGGAUUCAUUGGGUUAAAGGUGCGUAGGCGGCUUUGCAAGUCAGCGGUGAAAGGCCCGGGCUCAACCCGGAAAGUGCCGUUGAUACUGUGAGGCUGGAAUGCGGAUGCUGUGGGAGGAAUGAGUGGUGUAGCGGUGAAAUGCAUAGAUAUCACUCAGAACACCGAUUGC
Molecule: ribosomal RNA, 365 nt
Filed under: uncultured bacterium
Lineage: Bacteria
Description: bacterial SSU rRNA
Rfam family: Bacterial small subunit ribosomal RNA
Source: RNAcentral